RNAcentral lists this ribosomal RNA (1090 nucleotides) under Lactiplantibacillus plantarum. Its description in RNAcentral is "bacterial SSU rRNA". It matches the Rfam family "Bacterial small subunit ribosomal RNA", at positions 39 to 1091 of the family's 1533-position model. Lineage: Bacteria; Bacillati; Bacillota; Bacilli; Lactobacillales; Lactobacillaceae. The record is from RNAcentral.
GGGGGGGGCCCUAUACAUGGCAGGUCGGAACGAACUCUGGUAUUGAUUGGUGCUUGCAUCAUGAUUUACAUUUGAGUGAGUGGCGAACUGGUGAGUAACACGUGGGAAACCUGCCCAGAAGCGGGGGAUAACACCUGGAAACAGAUGCUAAUACCGCAUAACAACUUGGACCGCAUGGUCCGAGUUUGAAAGAUGGCUUCGGCUAUCACUUUUGGAUGGUCCCGCGGCGUAUUAGCUAGAUGGUGGGGUAACGGCUCACCAUGGCAAUGAUACGUAGCCGACCUGAGAGGGUAAUCGGCCACAUUGGGACUGAGACACGGCCCAAACUCCUACGGGAGGCAGCAGUAGGGAAUCUUCCACAAUGGACGAAAGUCUGAUGGAGCAACGCCGCGUGAGUGAAGAAGGGUUUCGGCUCGUAAAACUCUGUUGUUAAAGAAGAACAUAUCUGAGAGUAACUGUUCAGGUAUUGACGGUAUUUAACCAGAAAGCCACGGCUAACUACGUGCCAGCAGCCGCGGUAAUACGUAGGUGGCAAGCGUUGUCCGGAUUUAUUGGGCGUAAAGCGAGCGCAGGCGGUUUUUUAAGUCUGAUGUGAAAGCCUUCGGCUCAACCGAAGAAGUGCAUCGGAAACUGGGAAACUUGAGUGCAGAAGAGGACAGUGGAACUCCAUGUGUAGCGGUGAAAUGCGUAGAUAUAUGGAAGAACACCAGUGGCGAAGGCGGCUGUCUGGUCUGUAACUGACGCUGAGGCUCGAAAGUAUGGGUAGCAAACAGGAUUAGAUACCCUGGUAGUCCAUACCGUAAACGAUGAAUGCUAAGUGUUGGAGGGUUUCCGCCCUUCAGUGCUGCAGCUAACGCAUUAAGCAUUCCGCCUGGGGAGUACGGCCGCAAGGCUGAAACUCAAAGGAAUUGACGGGGGCCCGCACAAGCGGUGGAGCAUGUGGUUUAAUUCGAAGCUACGCGAAGAACCUUACCAGGUCUUGACAUACUAUGCAAAUCUAAGAGAUUAGACGUUCCCUUCGGGGACAUGGAUACAGGUGGUGCAUGGUUGUCGUCAGCUCGUGUCGUGAGAUGUUGGGUUAAGUCCCGCA